This 15781-nucleotide long non-coding RNA is filed under the name Vigna radiata. RNAcentral's name for it is "long non-coding RNA (VRAD_LNC000431)". The record is from RNAcentral. Lineage: Eukaryota; Viridiplantae; Streptophyta; Magnoliopsida; Fabales; Fabaceae.
UUUUUUUUUUUUUUUGUAAAAGAGAGAACUUUUAAAAGUUUCUUGAAUCACAAGGAAAAAGAUAAAUCAAUUGCAGCGAAAAUAGUUGACUACGUUAAAAUUAAAGUCGACUUGAAAUGUAAAAGUAUAGGGAUAGAAGAUUCAAACGCAGUUUUUAUACUGGUUUGGCCAAACUGCCUACAUCUAGUGUCCUUCCUGUACCCGGAAGCAAAUGCACUAUAAUGAUCAGGGUUUUUAAUACAAGGUUUCUAUAUAGACCUCCACGUCAAAAUAUAAAACAACUUUCUAACCCUUUUACCAAAAUAUAGGCAUAUACAAAACAAAGAACAACAUCAAGAUAUCCCUUCUCCUGCAGUCUUUAAUCCCUUUGAACAAUCAUCAAAGUCCUAGAACGCAACACGUCCUCUUCCUGUAAUCACAAAAGGGCAGCCGCAAUCUUCACAAGAUUGAAACAAGUAGUCGAUCACGUUUCAAACACCUCACUGUGCAAUAUGAUCAAUUUGUCUUUAAGCACCAACACUUGCUCUACAAGCAACCACCAAAGAAUGAUCACCAUGAUUUUUCUUGAUGAGUUCUUGGAGCUUUAGCACGUUCUACAAAUCUGAAAAGAAUCAAUGAAAUCAUUAAAUUCAUAAAAGUCUUUCUAGAAAUCAAAUUUGCGUCUAUUUAUAGUUUAUCACGAAACUGACGCUCCUCAAGUCGACUAUGCUGCUAAUAGAGUCGAUUAACCACAAACAGUUAUAACAUUUUAGUAGCAGUCAGAUCAACUUAAUUGAUUACACAUUUAAUUCAGUUGACUAACAAUUAAUGUCUGGGCAAAGAUACAAAAUAUAGCCGUUAGACAUCACAAGCAUCAACAGAAUUUCAAAACAUAAUUAACUAAGUCGAGUAGCUUGCGCAUACAAUCAACUUUGUAACACUUCAAUGCAGUUUUGAAAAUCUUUCUUUGCAAAAAUAAUCACAGCACUGUUUGGAAAAGUUUGUGCAAAGACACGAGUUUUAAUCGACUUGCUUCAUGAUGAAGUCGACUUAAAAUUGUUGUUUUGUCACACAAUAUACAUUAAACCAAAGUGCAUGUGGUUUUCUUUUCUAAAUCAUAUGUUAUGAAAUAACAUAUGAUAUCUCAUGUAGAACACAGUAAGUUUGCACACAUAGACAAAAUCAACACAAACAUGUUCUCAAAUAAUCAUACAUAUGAAAGUAAAGAACAUGUAACACAUAUGAAUAUGUAACAACACAUGUUUUUAUUAAUAAUACGUUGUCAUCAUCAAAAACUAGUGCUUUCCUUAUCAACAAUCUCAACAAAGUAGUUGCAAAUAGAAAGCACUUUUAACGGGUUAGCCAAGAGUAGGUACGAUCCUAAACAAUACUCGAGAGACUAGUUAGGGUGGGUAUAAUUGACUUUAAAAUGGGGUUGCAAAGAGCCUCAAACUAUUUAUACACAUAUGACACUUUAAGAUUCUUAUGUGUAUAUUUUUAUGUGUCAUGUAGCAAAAGUUAUGGUCAUUUGAAGAUUUUCACCACCAAAUCUUCAUAAGUAUGAAUUUUGGACCAAUAUCUCACAGUUGAACACUCUACAUUCAAAUACAACUUAAUAAUAGUUCCUAAAAAAAAUAAGUCAAAAAUAUUUUUCUAGCUAUUUGUAGUGAAUUUUAUGGCACACAACAAUUUCUAAACACCAACCUAAAUAAGAAAUGAAAUCGGAGAGAAUGAGAGUUUGAGUUUAAAAGAGUAUUGUCGUUGUUGUAGUUUCGUGAUAGGUUUCACACAAACGAGUAAGAGAAAGGUGAGGACACUAACACUAUUUUUAAAAUUUUAAAACGCAAAUUGACAGCAAACCCCUCACUAUAAACGUCAAAUUGCAAAUUAACGUCAAAUCUAGAGUAGUUUGACAUUAUUUAAUGUCUAUUGGUUCUAAAGUCAAUGUUAAUUUCAAAUUUAACAUCUAUUGUAUGAGAGUUUGACGUUAAUUUAAACAAAAUUUUUAUAAAAAUAUUAUUGUAUAUUGUUAAUGUCAAAUUUUGAAUCAUACAAUAUAGAACUGGCCACAUUAUAAGUUUUAUUUACACUAGUAAUUAUAUUUGUACUAUAUGAAAUAUACCGAUCGGAGUUAACAGGUAUUAAUGGGUCAGAUUGCCAUAUGCUUUACAAAUAUAUGAUAUUAAUUAUUGAUUAUUGGGUUUGAUUCCCUAAAAAUAUACUACACUAAUGGUUAAUCAAUGGACUUGGUUGCCAUAAGCCCUAUAAAUAUACAAUUGAUGUUCAGGUACAAUCAUCCUAAUAAAAUAUAGACCUCUUUAUGAAACAUAUCUGACUUGAGCGUCAGAGUGUCUUCUGCAGGUCAACAAUCCAUCAGAUGGAUUGCGUGCUCGAAGAGGAUUGGACGAUCGAAAGAGAGUAGAGAAAGGAAGGACGACCAACCCUCGGACUAAUUCAACCGAAAAAUUUUGGCGCCCACUGUGGGGCCGAGCAGCAUUCCCAUGAAACCACGAGGAACCAGACAUGCGCUCGGUCUCGAUAUCGCUACUUUGGAUCAAUACCAGGUUUUGCAACAGCAGCAAAAAGUUUCAUAAUAAUUUUUAAAUACAUGUCUUUUGUUUUGGAAACUUUCAGGAAGGUUCAGACCUACGUUCAACCUUGUCACAUUCCAAUUACUUUUAAUUAUAAUUUAUAAAUUAUAAAAUAUUGAUUUAACUCAUAUUUUUGUGAGUAAAAAUAUCAUGUGCAGGAAGGUCCAACCUACGUUCAACCUUGUCAUUUUCCAAUGACAUUUCAUUUUAAAUUAUAAAAUAUUAACGCAUAUUUUUGUGAGUAAAAAUAUCAUGUGCAGGAAGGUUCAGACUUACAUUCAACCUGGUGAGAUUCCAAUGGCUUUUCAUUAUAAAUUAUAAAAUAUUGAAUAUUUUAUUUAACGCAUAUUUUUGUGAGUAUAAAUAUCAUGUGUAGAAAGGUUCAGUCCAACAUUCAACCUUAUCAGGUUCUAAUGGCUUCUCAUUCUAAAAAUAAAAUAUUAAAUAUUUUAUUCAACGCAUAUUUUUGUUAGUAAAAAUAUCUUGCACAAGAAGGUUCAAUCCCUUACCGCUUGGUCAGUUGAGGAAAAAGAACUCCUCGCUCAACAUAGGAAAAAGUUUUGGAAAAAGAACUCCUAUCAGACGCCGCCCAACCUAGAGAAAAAAGUUCUGGAAAAAUAACUCCUAUCAGUUGCCACCCAGCUUAGAGAAAAAAGUUCUGAAAAAAGAACCCCUCGCCCAAGAUAGGAAAAAGUUCUAGAAAAAGAACCCCUAUCAAUCGUCGUUCAUCUUGUCUUAUUUGCUUGGUCGUUCAACUUUUUAGCAUAAUCUAUUUUGAUAUUAAUGGUCUAACCUCAUAAAUGCGUUGGUUUGAUUGGAAAUAUUUUUUCUGACAAGUUCAUAUUCAAAUUUUUAUUUUUCUUCAGUGGAGAUAACAGAUUCUAGCUUCUACUGCUCAACAUGGGAAAAAGUUCUAAAAAGAACUCCUAUCAACAUAGGAAAAAGUUAUAAAAAGAACUCUCAUCAAUCACCGCUCAACAUGGGAAAANAAAGAACUCCUAUCAACAUAGGAAAAAGUUAUAAAAAGAACUCUCAUCAAUCACCGCUCAACAUGGGAAAAAGUUCUAAAAAGAACUCCUAUCAAUACAAGAAAAAGUUCUAAAAGGAACUCCCAUCAGUUGCCGCUCAACAUGGGAAAAAGUUCUAAAAAGGACUCUUGUCAACAUAGGAAAAAGUUCUAAUAAGAACUCCCAUCAGUAGUUGGACCACUAAAGUCCAACCUUGUCAGGUUUUAAUGGCUUCUCAUUAUAAAAAUAUAAUAUUGAAUAUAUUGUUUAAGACAUUUUUGUGAGUGAAAAUAUCUUGCAUAGGAAAAAGUUCCAAAGAGAACUCCUAGAGUUCGCCCGCUCGGUGCAAAGAGGAAUGAAGACUUAAAUAGACUCCCUAAAUACAACGUGAGCAACCUCUCUUAAACUCGUAAUAAUCCUUGCGCACCUCUUUCAAUAAAGAGUUUGCUUGGGCUUGGGGGACUUAUGUACUAUAUGAAAUAUACCGAUCGGAGUUAGCAAGUAUUAUAAUGGGUCAGAUUGUCUUACUCUUUACAAAUAUACGAUAUUAAUUAUUGAUUAUUGGGUUUGAUUGCCUAAAGGUAUAUUGCACUAAUGGUUAAUUAAUGGACUUGGCUUUCACAAGCCCUAUGAAUAUACAAUUGAUGUCCAGAUACAAUCAUCCUUUUGUGAACCUUGACCUAUCCUAAUAAAAUAUAGACUUCUUUAUGAAAUAUAUUUGACUUGAUCAUCGGAUUGUCUUUUACAAAUCAACAACCCAUUAGAGUGGAUUGCGUGCUUGGAGAGGAUUGAAUGAUCGAAAGAGAGCAGAGUCAGAAGAACGACCGAUCCUUAGACGAAUUUAACCAAAAAAAUAUUUAAUAAUAUUUUUGUAUCAUCCCUCUCGGGAUCUAUCAACUUAAAGAUUGUAUUGUUAUGUUUUGAAAAGCUGAUUCCAAAAGGAAGGAGGCGUACUAUUUUUGGAGUGUAAGAAGAAACUCAUGUCAAAUCCAAUUCGUGCAACCUUAAAAUUUGAGAAAGAAAAAAGCAUUUUGUUGAUGAAAUAAAAAAUUGUCAAGCCAAUAAUUUUCUUGGGUACUUGAAAUUGUGUCACUCUAAAGAAUUUAAAAACUUGAUGAUGAAUGAUGAACUAGGUUAUAGUCUAGGCCCACAAGAGUCACAUCGUGAAAAACACUGAUAUUGAUACAUGAUUGGGGAAGAAUACAUUCAUAUGGGUGUUCAUUUUCUCCACUUCUCCCCUUUGUUUUUUCAUGAGCACCACAUAUUUUAAGUAUGCAGCUGAACCAAACACUUAUAGUUCAGUCCUUAUCUUUCUUUCUCUUAACAAAAAAUGACCCCAUUUGUUUUGCUUUAAGGCAAGUGGUUGUGCAUGCCUUGUUGCCCUUUAUCAUUGUUUUGUUGGUUUCUGUCUUCAUUAAAGUACAAACGAUAGAAGUAAUUAAAAGAAAAAUUAAGCAGAUAAAAUGUAUUAUUUCGAUGAAUAUAAAUAAAAGGUAGAUUACGUAAAACAAAAUUCAAUUUGUCUAAUGGAGUGAAAGUUUAGUAAAUAAGUUCUAUAAAAGGGAUUUAACAAUUUAAAUAAUUAAUUUUAAUUAAGUUUAAACUUUUAUUACAUUAUUUCAUUAAAAAAGUAAAACAUAAAAAAAUGUAUCAAACAUUUUCUCGAUUGAAGAAAAUAUGUUUUAAAGCAUAAUUAUGAUAAACUUUACUUCUUCAUUUAUUUAAAUAAUGUGAAGUUAAUAUUUUCAUCACAGUUUACUCUUUUUAUUUCCUUUAUUUAGUAUUAUUUUAAUAUAUAUAUAUAUAUAUAUAUAUAUAUAUAUAUAUAUAUAUAUAUAUAUAUAUAUAUAUAUAUAUGCUUAGUCAAAUUAAAGAUGUAAUAUAUAUGCUUAGUCAAAUUUUCCUUACGAUUAUCAGAAGCAAUACCAAAUUUAAGUGCAAAAUGAGUUUACUAGUUGGUGUUGUAAUAUUUCUUUUAAUAUUUUUCAAUUUUUUAUAUAUUUUCUUUUCUUCUUUUUCUUUAUCUUUUGUAGAGGAACUUAACUUUUCUUUAUAUCAAUUUUGAAACAAAAACAACCAAUAUAUAAUUUUGAAUUUUCAUAACCAGACUAAGAUAAUAAAAUAUGUAGAGAAUCUAAGAAAGUAAUUACUAUUUUGACAAUUUCAAUAAGACUAUGUAGAACCUUAAUACUAGUAAUUUGUUUAGGAACUAAAAAUAAGCAUGAACACAUGCAUCCUAUCCACAUGAAAAUACAAUUGCAAAAAAUCUGACCCAAAAGUGACGCACACAUCAAAAGGUUUUUCAACUUUGUAAAAUGAAAAUAAAAUGGCUAACAUCGAAGUAAUGACAAUUUUGGAUUCAGAAGACUUAGACAAAACUUAUAUCAUCUAAAAGCAAAGAAAAAGACUCAAAAUAUAACCCAUACCCAUGACAAAUGAAACAAAAUUUUGCACAUAUUCAUAUAGAAAAUGGAAAUUCUAGAACACACGUCAAAGAGGAUAGCAGAAUGUUUAACAUAAAAAAUAAACCAAGAGGGGGUGAACUGGUUUCCUUUCGCAAAUGUGUUCCCAUAAUAAUUUUCUCUCCAUUUUAUCUUACUUAGAACAUAAAUUAAACAAUAAUAAAGAUUAAUGGAAGAGAGAAAAUUGCAUAGAUAAUUUUAUACUAGUUCUUAUCACGAGGAUCCUAAGUCCAGUUGUUAAUCCCAAACAAAGAUUAACAUUAUGUAGGAAUUGGUAUCGCGUAGCAUAAUGUUUUAAAGAGUGUGUAAACAGACAAUAACCAAGAGGGGAGGGGUGAAUUGGUUCUUUCAAAAACUUCAUUUUACCUUUUCAAAACUUUUGUCAAAUAGUUUAUAAAUAAAGGAUGAAGGGAUAGAGAAAAUCACACAAAUGAUUUUAUCCUGGUUCGAAUCAAAAGAUUCUACAUCCAGUCUUAAUUACUAUAAAAGAGUGAUUAACUUUUUCACUAAAAAAGAGUUUAAGAUUACAAUAAGAAUAAUGAAAUAAUAAGAACAUGAUACACCUUCCUUCGACACACGAUGGAUGAAUACCAACUCAAUCAACAUGUAGAGAACCGUUUGCACCUUUAGGCACACUAACCACAAGCUUCUCCUUUCUCAAGACUUAAUUAAGCUCGCACUUAAACUAAAGAACUUCCUCAGAACAAUUCUAUGCUCUCAAAUGGUUUAGGUUUUCUUUAAAAGGUUUAGGAGGAUUCUAUAUAUAGGACAAUUGUCAGAAAAUGAAAAGACAACACCCAACUGUCAGUGAUAAUCGAUUAUCACAACUGAUAAUCGAUUAUUUUAGGUCGUUAUGGGUUUUGGAAAAAUGUGAUAGUCGAUUAUCCUUAGUGAUAAUUGAUUAUUUUUGAACCCUUGACAAUAUCAAAACUUAUAGUGAUAAUCGAUUAUCCCCUAUGAAAAUCGAUUAUUGCUGCGAUAAACCCUUUUCUAUUUUUGCUUGUGAUAAUCGAUUAUCCCCUAUGAUAAUCGAUUAUUGCCGCAAGAAAUCACUAAGUUAUGAAACUUCUAAGUGUUUACAAUUGAAAAUAACUCCUAUACAAAUGCUUUUUACAAAAGAUGCUUUUAACAUUUAAAGUAUCGGAUUCUUCAAGUCUUCAGUCUUUAAGUUCAUCAUCAUCAAAAUCUCUUCAACGCAUCAAUGCUUAUCAUGGAUAACACAUUGCACUAUCACAAAACCAAUAAACUAUUACAAUCACACAAAAAAACAAGUUUAUGGGUUUAGAAACACCUCUCCUUGUUACCAUAAGAGAUGAAAUUCACUUCCCCUGAAGGCCAUAAGGGAUGAACAUGUCCUCCGAAUGAUUCAUGAAGGACGAACACUUUCUUUAAAUCUUCACAAAGGAUGAUAGGCUUCACUUAGCAAUAGCAAAAACACUCAACCACUCUCUGAGUGAAAUUUCUCGCUUUCUCCAACGCUAAGUUCUCAAAGUCAAAGUACAAGAGUAACACAAACCCUACAUCACACUUUUCACAUUUUACAACUAACAUAUGUGUGCUAGAAUGAGAGUCUAAAACAUCUUUAUAAAGACCUCACUCAAUGACACCUCCUAAAAUUCAUUGUCAAUUUUUUGUCGCGUGAUAACCGAUUACACACUUAUGGUAAUUGAUUAUGCAUUUAAUGGAUGCAUAAGGGCCAAAAACAAGCUUAAAAAAUCCAAUGACUAGUUAUGAUAUGGUAAGUCAUAUUUGAUUAUGGAUAAUAUAUUAUUCUAGAGCCAAAAUAAGUUUUUAUCAACAUUUAAAAACCUCAUUGCGUUAAUCGAUUAUCUUAAGUAGCUAAUCGGUUAUUGCAAAGUUCUUUUAUUCCAAAAUGAAUCAUCAGUGCAGUAAAGGGAACCGACAACGAUUAUUUUCACCUAUCUGCAUUGAUUCCACAACCAAGGUAUAUACAAGCAAGGCAAAAAGGUAGGCUUUUUGCCUUGGUUCUCAACCGAGGCAAAAAGGGGUAGUCUUUUGCCUCGGUUUCUUUUGAAUUGAGGCAAUAAAGGGUUUUCUUUUUCUUUUUUUUUUGGCCAGACUUUUUUUUGGCCUAUGAACCGAGACACUAUAGGGGAGCUUUUUACCUCAGUUUUGGGAUGAACCAAGGCAGUAGAGGGUUUUUCCUUUCUUUUCAUUUUUUGUCAGUCCUUUUGCCUCGAUUGUGCCUAGAAUCGAUGGCAUAGAUGGCUUUCUGCCUCGGUUAUGGUCACAACUAAGGCGUAUUCUACUGGUUUUUUUUAUAAAACAUGUCUAUUUCUAUAACAAUCCCACCUAUAGAAACAAACCUGCAUAUAUUCAACAGAAAAAAAUAAUGUAGAAACAUAUAUUCAAUGCAAAUUAUAAUCAUAAAUCAAUUCAAUGUACAUAGAAUUUUAAUCAUAAAGCAACUUAGAAGCAUAAAUCAAUCCAAUGUACAAAGUUAACCUAAUCAUAAAUUUGCUAAUGUAGAACUUAUUAUAUCCUAAUAUCUACAUACUAUUAUAGAGUUGAAUUACAUAUUUUCCAUGUGUUUUCAUUAUCAAUGUAAUGGACUUUGACGGAAUUGAAGUAGUAGAAUUGAAUCUCUAUAUAAGACACAAUGAUUUCAAUUAGAUAAUACAUGUACUUUCCUUAGCAUUCAUACUUUAUGUGUUUAUACAUGUGUUUACAUAUGUUGUAUACAUACUCAUACUUUGAUAUGUGAAAAUCACUUGCACAAUGUAUUAUCUGUAUGAAGUAAUCAAUUACAGAAAUUAUUUAAUCAAUUAAGUUCAUCAUAUAACCAUUUUCUUAAACUAGUGCAAGCUACAAGUUUUAACCGAUUACAUUAUGUGUAUAAUCAAUUAAAACUCAUGCCUUUACAAUACAUCUUUCUGGAUUAUGCUAUGAUGAGUUUUGUGUUGAAAAUGUUUUCAAAAUGCUUAAGUGUUGUACUUAAUCGAUUACACAUUUUAAGUAAUCAAUUAAGUUAGUUAUACUUUGAAAAAUGGUUGUUGUUAAGUCUUAACUAUCCCAACAGUCAUAUUUUAAUAUGUUUUGGCUUACAUGAUAUAUUGAAUCGAUUACAUUAUGUGCUUAAUCUAUUAGAUCUGUUUGAUUGUUUUUCAAGUGUAACUCUAUUACUUAUGUAACCUAUUACAUUAUUAUAGUAAUUGAUUAAACUACGUCUGUUAUGAGAAAAUUAUAAAUUGUUGCAUCGCACACUGUAUUGUAACGAAUUGAUCAUUCUAAACUUUCAUAUCUGAUGUUUGUGAUUUGAGAAAAGUGUUACAGGCUAAGACGCUCCAAGAAACAAGAUACAUAGAAGUUGAUAAAUCUUAAAGGUUUCUUGAAGAACUGAUUUGGGUUUUCACUACUGAUCAACUAUUGCACUAGUGAGGUGUACUCUUGAUUGAUCAAACUUCGCUUAUAGCAAUAUUGGAUUGUGUUGUUUCCCUGUGUGUGCGGCUAGGAAGAAGAGCAUGAAGUUCUUUGGACUUUGAGGGGAUCUCAAAGGGUGAUUAUAGGAGAGGAUUGUCCUUGCUGUAGGGUUUUGUUAUUGGCUAUAUUAAAUUAAUGAGUUAAAGAGGUGUUUACAUUUGAGAGGUGGUCUCUAUAAAACCUUAUUGUAAAAACUCAUAUCUUUAUAGUGCAUUUGGCUUUCAAUCUCAGGUUGAUUGAAAGGACAUUGGAUGUAGGCAUUAAGGCCGAACCAAUAUAAACCUUGUGUUUAUAUCUCUUUCCUUAUCUCUUUUACUUUCACUGCAUGCACUUUAUUGGUUAGAUUCCAAGAAAGAUUAAAGAUCAUUCUAAGUUUACAAAAAGAUUGAAAAAGUAAUUGUUUUUAUUGAUCACUAAUUCACCCCCCUCUCUUGGUGUUGAGAAACAAGACACCUCUUUUCUUAUAGCUUCCACUAGGCAAUUCUGGUAUCAACCAGAUACUCUUCCUAGUAAUGCUUAACUCACCUGAGUUAAUCAACAAAUGUUUGAAUUUUCUUCAGAAUAUGCAAUCAAUCAAAUUACUUACAAGUCUUAGACAAUUAGUCUCACAGAGAAAAUAUAUGUUCAACACUGGUUUAGCCAAACCUUACAAUCUCAUACCUUCUAGUUUUUGAUGAUGAUAACACAUUAUUAAUAACAACAUGUGUUGUUAUGUGUUACAUGUUCAUAGCUUUCAUGUUUAUGAUUAUUUGAGAACAUGUUUGUGUUGUUUUAGUCAAAUUAUGCAAAUUCACUGCGUUUUACAUGAGAUCUUAUUUGUAAUUGCAUAACAAAUGUUUUGAAAAAGGAAAACCACAUGCACUUUAGUUGAACUUUAAAUAGUGUGGCAAAACAGCCCCUCAGCGCUAGUGAACAAACAUUAAAGAGGGACGUUAGUGCUUGGGCUUUCGGUGCCAGUGUUGAGCGUUGACUGCGCAAGGUUUUACACCCUUGUUUUACACCCUUUUCUUUGUUGGCUGCAUCAAAAUAAAACCCCCAAUAUACGAACAACAAACGUUCUAGGCCGAAAUUAACACCCUAAAACCCCAAAAUCACUCAAAAUUGAUAGGACAACAUGAAAACUUAAAACUACAUGAGCAUGCAACAAUUUCACAACAUAAUUGUCAAAUGAAAUGCUCCACUUAAUCAAUUAAAGACAGCACAGCAGCAACCAUGGUUAUUGAAAACGCGAGUUAACUCGUUAACUCGGUCGAGUUUACGAGUUCAGAUAGUGCUUUCAAGUUAACUCAUAAGCAAACUCAUUUUUAGAGUAGGAUCGAUAGAAUCGUGGUAGACUCGCUAAACUCGCCUAAAAUCGCGAGUUUGGUUCCGAUUUUGCGAGUUUGGGAAAAAAAUUCGAAGACACAAAACAACUACGUUUUUAGGACUCACCGGAUUAGGUUUUUUAAAAGAUGCACUCAUUGUUCAUCUUGGUUUUCACUGUUCAUCUUCUUUCUUGCACUUUCGCUUUCUAUCUCGUUCGAUCUAGCCCUUCGUCGCGCCCUCAUUCACCAGGUUCGCCUUCCAUCGCGCCAUCCAUCUCGACUUUCGAACUCAGCCUCCGUCCGUCGUCGAUCUCGACCUCGUCCUCCGUCGUACCUUCAUUCUCAUCCUUGUGGGUUCUGUAAGUGCAAACCCCCAACCACUAAAAUCUUAAAUUUGGGUUCACGGGCACUGCAACAUAUAUUUUAAACACUUUUAUGGCACUAGCGCUCACGGGCACUACAACAUAUAUUUUAAACAUUUUUAUGGCACUACAACUGUUAUAAAAUCUGAAAUUUGGGUUCACAGGCACUGCAACAUGUAUUAUUUUAAUGAUUAUAAGUUCAGUUGAUGUCACGGGCACUGCAACAAAUAUUUUUUUAAUAAUUUUAUGUUGGGUUCAUUCAUAGCACUGCAACACAUAUUUUAAUGAUAUUUUAUUUUACAGCUGCAACGUAUAUUUUAAUAGAAUUUGUUUUACAAGCAUUGCACCACUUUACAACACUGCACUGCAUCAUUCUUUUUAUUUUUUUCAAUAAUAAAGUGUUGCACACUGCACUGUUAAAAAAACUUGCUGCCACAAUAUUUUUAAACUCUUGGAUAUUUUAUUUUAUAUAUUUGUAGUGAAAAAGCUUAUGUCACUAUGUCAGGAAAUGCAUCAAAUUCAGAAGUUAAUCCAAGUGUAUCUUCAUCAGUUAGAAGUAGAAGAAAAAAUGCUCCGGGAAAUCGAUCUGAUAUUGGGUGGAAACAUGGAUUUAAUGUUAAUGGUAAUGGAAGAAAAGUGAAAUGCAACUAUUGCUCAAAGAUUGUAAGUGGAGGCAUAUUUAGAUUUAAGCAUCAUCUUGCUAGAACUAGAGAAGAUUUUGAACCUUGUGCUUCUGUUCCGUAUGAACUAAAAAAUUUGAUGAUAAAAAUAGUUGCAGAAGCUAAGAAUGCUUCAUUAAAGAAAAGAAAGAUAAAUAUCGGUGAAGACGAGGAAGAAAGUGAGAGUCUUAAAGGAGGACACGGGGUAUUCGAUUUUAAAGGAAAAGAAAAAGUUGCUACUACUAGUAAUGGGAGAGAUCAAGCAACUAUAAAUCAAAUGAUGGAAAAAGGAUAUAAAGAAGAAGUUUAUGCUCAAGUAGCUAAAUUCUUUUACACCAGUGCCAUUCCUUUUAAUGUUAUUAGAAAUCCAACAUUUGCAAAGAUGUGUGAAAUGAUUGGUAAAUAUGGAGUUGGAUACAAACCACCAUCUUAUCAUGAUAUUAGAGAGAAGCUCUUGAAACAAGUUGUGAAUAAAACAGAUGCAAAUCUUGAGGAAUAUAACGAGGAGUGGAAGAAAAUUGGAUGUACAAUUAUGUCUGAUGGUUGGACGGAUAGAAAAAAACGUUUUAUUUGCAACUUCUUGGUGAAUAGUCCUAGAGGGACGAUUUUUCUUUAUUCCCUUGACACUUCAGACAUUUCAAAACAGCUGAUAAAGUUUUCAAAAUGUUGGAUGAUGUUAUCUAGUUUGUUGGAGAAGAAAAUGUUGUUCAAGUUGUCACUAAUAAUGCUGCAAAUUUUAAGGCAGCCAGAGAGUUGUUGAUGCAAAAGAGGGAAAAUUUUGUAUUGGACUCCAUGUGCAGCACAUUGCAUUGAUUUGAUAUUUGAAGAUUUUGAAAAAAAAGUUGAAGGUCCAUGAAUUGACUCUUAAGAAGGGAAGAAAUAUUACCACUUACAUUUAUGGGAGAUCAAUGUUGAUUUCCUUAUUGAAAAAGUUCACUAAAGGUAGAGACUUGAUAAGACCGGGUGUGACUAGAUUUGCCACGGCUUAUUUAACACUUGCUUGUCUUCAUGAAUUGAAAACAUCAUUGUUGACCAUGUUUAACUCUGAGGAAUGGAAGACAAGCAAGUUUGGAACUUCACAAGAGGGGAGAAAAGUAGAACAUGUGUUAUUAGAUAGCCAUUUUGGAAGAAUGUCUCCACAUGCUUGAAAGUUGUUGCCCCUCUUAUGGUUGUCUUAAGAUUAGUGGACUCAGAUGUAAAACUCGCAGUGGGUUUCAUUUAUGAAGAAAUGGACUCUGCAAAAGAGAAAAUUAGGUCUAACUUUAACAAUAUCAAAAGUAGGUAAAUUUUCAAACUUUUACUCAUUCAAUGUUUAAUUACUUAUGUGUGAGAUUACUUCUGAUAUAGCAUGAUUGAUGUAGUUAUGAAGAGGUUUGGAGAAUAAUUGAUGCUCGAUGGGAUAAUCAACUUCAUAGGCCUUUGCAUGCAGCUGCUUAUUUUCUAAACCUUCAUUUCCACUAUGAACCUAACUUUAGAUUUGAUGAUGGUGGAGAGGUGAAAGAAUGAUUGUAUUUUUGCAUGAGAAGAUUGAUACCGGAUAUGGUAGAAAGAAGAAAAAUUAAUUUACAAAUUGUUGAAUUUCAUAAUGCUAAAGGACUUUUUGGAAUGGAAGAUGCAAAGGAGUGUAGGAAAGAGUUAAAUCCUGGGGAAUGGUGGGACAUGUUUGGUGAUGGAACUCCGGAGUUGAAGAGAUUUGUUAUUCGAAUUCUAAGCUUGACUUGUAGUUCUUCUGGAUGUGAGCGUAAUUGGAGUUCAUUUGAAAUGGUAAUUUAAAUUAUUUUUAAUUUAUAAAUUCCUUUAUUAUGUUUAUAUCUUGAUUAAAAAUAUUAUAUUUCAUUUUAGGUUCAUACAAAGAGAAGGCAUCGUUUGCAUCAAAAAAAGAUGAAUGAUUUAGUUUAUGUGAUGUAUAACUCCAAGUUGAAAAGUAGACAGAUUCGAAAAACUAUAGCUCUUCCGUUUGAUGACAUUGAAUCAGAUGAUGAAUGGAUAGCUAAAGAGACAGAUGAUGUUGUUGAGAUUGAUCAAGUUGAAGGUGAAAAUGAUGGUGAAAAUGUUCACUUAGAUGGAGCAACAACAGAUCAUGCUCUAGAUGCUCUAGCUUUUUAGAAUCAAUUUCAAAACUAGUUUUUUGUGUGCCUAAUUUGAGUUUAGCCAUUGGCUGAGAUCUUUAUCACACAUGGGGAGAAGAAAAAUUGUCAAAUUUGCAUGUUGAUUUGAUUCUAGAUUUCUAUGAUCCUAAUCAUCUUGGUAUGUGUAUAUUGUCUAGAUUUUAUUGUAUGUUUAAGUGUUUCCAUUGAGUCUUAUUACAAGCUUUUAUUAUGUUAUUCUUGUUAUAGUUUUGUCACAUGAUUUUUCUUCUUUAGAGUUUAACUUUACUCGUUUUUAGUGCCGUUUUGCUUUUCUUUAGGUUCUUGAAUUUGUGUGUUUCUUGAGCUUGAUUAAUCACCUAAACACCCUAAAAUGAAUAUGGGUUUUUAUCACAUUGGAAAUAACAUAAUGGGAAUUGAAAGUUCACCUGUUUAAUCUACUUAAUGUUCAAUUUAAGAAUUGGAUUGACGAAGAAUUAAUAUUCUAAAAAAUUUAUAAAACAAAGUUUGAAGAAACUAGAUUCUAGAGUUAGUAUUUACAUUGAAAAAGUAAAAUCCCAUAGAUUUGUAUAUUCUCUAUUGACUUUGAAUAUAUAUGAUGUGGCCAUGAGAGAAAAGGAGGGGAAACUUAUCUUUUUCUCUAGUAUCCUUGUUCACAAAUGUAGCUAUCAAAAGGGUCCAGUCUAAGCUUUAAUGCAACCUAAAAGGAGUUGAGAUAUGUUACCUAUUACUACUCACAAGCCUCCAAGUGAUUGAUAUUUUAGUUGCUAAUCCAUAUCAAUUUGUUGCAAACAAACAACAGGCAAGAGAAUCAUGUUGAUAUUCAUCGUGAGCUAUGUAUCAGAUUCUGACAAUUCUAGAAAUAUUAUGUACUAUUAGCAGACCAUGACCAAAUCUGAUUGUGUUUUUCUGUGCCCUUUUGCAAUCAUAAUUUGAAAAAAGCAGUUGGAAGAAUUAGAAAUGGCACAACUAAAUGGUUUCUGGCUAUUUCUUGGGAGGCAUAGUUUCUGAAACUAAAAAAGAAAAUUUGAAUUUGAUGUCUCUUUCUUUGAACCCAAUUAACAGAACGGUUUGGUAGUUACUGGUAGUUUGUUGCUGUAUACUAUACAAAAUAUCUGUGUUUCCAAGAAUUAUGGGCUUCAUGUUUGAUUUUGAAAGCUCAGUAGUUUCCUUGCAACACAUUCUUAAAUUGAGUGAUGAACUUCUUUUCUUGGAUAACAAAAUACAAAGUUGUUUCAAUAUGUUGAAAUAACAUUAUGUUAAUUAGGCCAAGCUGAACUAUGAUGUUUACUCGAAUGACUAGAAGAGUUCCUUUGUUAAACUUUAACAAGUAAAAGCAUUAAACUACAAAGUUAUUUUAGAACAAUAGACACAACACAACAGCUUAUUCAUUAGUUCUCAUCCUUUCAUUUGCAAUGAAGUCCGAAAACAGAAACCAAAAUUACAAGGUGAUGGAAUCUCAAAAAGAGAAAACGAAAUGGGAAUUUGGUUUAAGUAGAAACAAACAAAGUGGGGUGGUUACAAAUAAUGGAAACUUAGUAGCCUGGUGGCUUGUAGGCAAUGAAACUGAUGCACUGAACUUGACGAACACUGUCAAAUCCAACGAUACGGACGAAGCCGUCGGGGUAGAGAGUCCUGGCCUCUCGAAGCUCCUUCAGAACCUGAGAAGAAUCAGUGCAGCCAUACAUAGGCAGCUUCCACAUGGUCCAGUACCUUCCAUCAUAGUAUCCAGGUGACCUGUUGUUCUCACGGUGUGGGAAAGCGUCCUAUAAACUCAAAACUCAUAUCAUUACUAUCAAAACUCAUAACUGUUAAAAAAUAACUGAUUCACACAAAUAAUUUUACUCUUCGAUCCAUUGUUGGUUACUCUGUUCCAAGAAAUUUACCUU